GUAUUACCUUGUGUAAUACAUUUACUAAAAUUGGAACGAUACAGAGAAGAUUAGCAUGGCCCCUGCGCAAGGAUGACACGCGGUUGACGUGAAGCGUUCCUUUUCUCG
Trichoplax adhaerens is the source of this 108-nucleotide non-coding RNA. The record is from Rfam. NCBI's taxonomy places the organism in Eukaryota, Metazoa, Placozoa, Uniplacotomia, Trichoplacea, Trichoplacidae.